AGCCUUUUGUGUUGUACUUGGUUC
Molecule: non-coding RNA, 24 nt
Filed under: Arabidopsis thaliana (thale cress)
Lineage: Eukaryota; Viridiplantae; Streptophyta; Magnoliopsida; Brassicales; Brassicaceae
Source: RNAcentral